RNAcentral lists this ribosomal RNA (253 nucleotides) under uncultured bacterium. Its description in RNAcentral is "partial 16S ribosomal RNA". It matches the Rfam family "Bacterial small subunit ribosomal RNA", at positions 524 to 776 of the family's 1533-position model. The record is from RNAcentral.
UACGAAGGGUGCAAGCGUUACUCGGAAUUACUGGGCGUAAAGCGUGCGUAGGUGGUUCGUUAAGUCUGUCGUGAAAGCCCCGGGCUCAACCUGGGAAUGGCAAUGGAUACUGGCAAGCUAGAGUGCGGUAGAGGGUAGUGGAAUUCCCGGUGUAGCGGUGAAAUGCGUAGAGAUCGGGAGGAACACCAGUGGCGAAGGCGGCUACCUGGACCAGCACUGACACUGAGGCACGAAAGCGUGGGGAGCAAACAGG